AGAGUUUGAUCCUGGCUCAGAUUGAACGCUGGCGGCAUGCUUUACACAUGCAAGUCGAACGGGGUGAGGGGGCAACUCCUUGCUCAGUGGCGAACGGGUGAGUAAUGCAUCGGAACGUGUCCCGUAGUGGGGGAUAACUCGGCGAAAGCCGAGCUAAUACCGCAUAUGCUCUACGGAGGAAAGUGGGGGACCUGCAAGGGCCUCACGCUAUGGGAGCGGCCGAUGUCCGAUUAGCUUGUUGGUGGGGUAAUGGCCUACCAAGGCGACGAUCGGUAGCUGGUCUGAGAGGAUGAUCAGCCACACUGGGACUGAGACACGGCCCAGACUCCUACGGGAGGCAGCAGUGGGGAAUUUUGGACAAUGGGGGCAACCCUGAUCCAGCCAUGCCGCGUGCGGGAAGAAGGCCUUCGGGUUGUAAACCGCUUUUAGUCGGGAAGAAAAGGCGCGGGUUAAUAGUCCGCGUUCUUGACGGUACCGGCGGAAUAAGCACCGGCUAACUACGUGCCAGCAGCCGCGGUAAUACGUAGGGUGCGAGCGUUAAUCGGAAUUACUGGGCGUAAAGCGUGCGCAGGCGGUUCGCUGUGUCCUGUGUG
RNAcentral lists this ribosomal RNA (593 nucleotides) under uncultured beta proteobacterium. RNAcentral describes it as "bacterial SSU rRNA". It matches the Rfam family "Bacterial small subunit ribosomal RNA", at positions 8 to 596 of the family's 1533-position model. The record is from RNAcentral. Lineage: Bacteria; Pseudomonadati; Pseudomonadota; Betaproteobacteria.